RNAcentral lists this transfer RNA (68 nucleotides) under Marmota monax (woodchuck). RNAcentral describes it as "tRNA.Asp". The stretch from base 5 to 65 matches the Rfam family "tRNA", at positions 6 to 65 of the family's 71-position model. From Rfam's summary of the family: Transfer RNA (tRNA) molecules are approximately 80 nucleotides in length. Their secondary structure includes four short double-helical elements and three loops (D, anti-codon, and T loops). Lineage: Eukaryota; Metazoa; Chordata; Mammalia; Rodentia; Sciuridae. The record is from RNAcentral.
GGACUGUAGCUCAGUGGUAGAGUGCUUGCCUAUCAUGUGGGAGUCACUGGGUUCGAUCCUCAGCAUCA